GUUAUAUGGUCAAGCGAAUAAGCGCACACGGUGGAUGCCUUGGCGGUCAGAGGCGAUGAAGGACGUGGCAGCCUGCGAAAAGUAUCGGGGAGCUGGCAACAAGCUUUGAUCCGGUAAUGUCCGAAUGGGGAAACCCACCCGCUUGCGGGUAUCCUGCAGUGAAUACAUAGCUGCUGGAAGCGAACCUGGUGAACUGAAAUAUCUAAGUAACCAGAGGAAAAGAAAUCAACCGAGAUUCCGUAAGUAGCGACGAGCGAACGCGGACUAGCCCUUAAGCUGGAUUGGUUCUAGGAAAACGCUCUGGAAAGAGCGGCCAUAGAAGGUGAUAGCCCUGUAUCUGAAAGGGCCAUUCCAGUGAAGACGAGUAGGGCGGGGCACGUGAAACCCUGUCUGAACAUGGGGGGACCAUCCUCCAAGGCUAAAUACUACUGACCGACCGAUAGUGAACCAGUACCGUGAGGGAAAGGCGAAAAGAACCCCGGAGAGGGGAGUGAAAUAGAACCUGAAACCGUGUGCGUACAAGCAGUAGGAGCUCCGCAAGGAGUGACUGCGUACCUUUUGUAUAAUGGGUCAGCGACUUACUGUUCGUGGCAAGCUUAACCGUAUAGGGGAGGCGAAGGGAAACCGAGUCUGAUAAGGGCGCAUAGUCGCGGGCAGUAGACCCGAAACCGGGUGAUCUAGUCAUGCCCAGGGUGAAGGUGCGGUAACACGCACUGGAGGCCCGAACCCACUCCCGUUGCAAAGGUAGGGGAUGAGGUGUGAUUAGGAGUGAAAAGCUAAUCGAACCCGGAGAUAGCUGGUUCUCCUCGAAAGCUAUUUAGGUAGCGCCUCAUAUGUAUCCUCUCGGGGGUAGAGCACUGUUAUGGCUAGGGGGUCAUCGCGACUUACCAAACCAUUGCAAACUCCGAAUACCGAGACGGACUGUAUGGGAGACACACGGCGGGUGCUAACGUCCGUCGUGAAAAGGGAAACAACCCAGACCCACAGCUAAGGUCCCAAAUUCACUGCUAAGUGGAAAACCAUGUGGAAAGGCACAGACAGCCAGGAGGUUGGCUUAGAAGCAGCCACCCUUUAAAGAAAGCGUAAUAGCUCACUGGUCGAGUCGGUCUGCGGGGAAGAUUUAACGGGGCUAAGCAGUGAACCGAAGCUUGGGGUGCAUAACUUUGUUAUGCGCGGUAGAGGAGCGUUCCGUAAGCCGUUGAAGGUGGAUUGAGAAGUCUGCUGGAGGUAUCGGAAGUGCGAAUGCUGACAUGAGUAACGAUAAUGCGGGUGAAAAACCCGCACGCCGAAAGCCCAAGGUUUCCUUGCGCAACGUUAAUCGGCGCAGGGUGAGUCGGCCCCUAAGGCGAGGACGAAAGUCGUAGUCGAUGGGAAGCAGGUUAAUAUUCCUGCACCUCGCGUAAGUGCGAUGGAGGGACGGAGAAGGUUAGGUGUACCAGGCGUUGGUUGUCCUGGGGAAAGGCGGUAGGUUUGGAUCUUUGGCAAAUCCGGGAUCCUUUAAGACCGAGCACCGAGACGAGCCUUUAUGGCGAAGUCACUGAUACCACGCUUCCAGGAAAAGCUCCUAAGCUUCAGCUUACGCAGACCGUACCGUAAACCGACACAGGUGGGUAGGAUGAGAAUUCUCAGGCGCUUGAGAGAACUCGGGUGAAGGAACUAGGCAACAUGGCACCGUAACUUCGGGAGAAGGUGCACCCUUUUUGGUGGCUCGUGCGAGCUAUAGCUGAAGAGGGUCGCAGUAACCAGGCCGCUGCGACUGUUUAUCAAAAACACAGCACUCUGCAAACACGAAAGUGGACGUAUAGGGUGUGACGCCUGCCCGGUGCUGGAAGGUUAAUUGAUGGGGUCAGCCGCAAGGCGAAGCUCUUGAUCGAAGCCCCAGUAAACGGCGGCCGUAACUAUAACGGUCCUAAGGUAGCGAAAUUCCUUGUCGGGUAAGUUCCGACCUGCACGAAUGGCGUAACGACAGCGGCGCUGUCUCCACCCGAGACUCAGUGAAAUUGAAAUCGCUGUGAAGAUGCAGCGUUCCCGUGGCAAGACGGAAAGACCCCGUGAACCUUUACUAUAGCUUUACACUGAACGUUGAGUUCGUCUGUGUAGGAUAGGUGGGAGCUAUGAAACCAUGGCGCUAGCUGUGGUGGAGCCAUCCUUGAAAUACCACCCUGUCGUGCUUGACGUUCUAACCUGGGCCCAUUAUCUGGGUCGGGGACCGUGUAUGGUGGGUAGUUUGACUGGGGCGGUCUCCUCCUAAAGAGUAACGGAGGAGCUCGAAGGUACGCUCAGCGCGGUCGGACAUCGCGCACUGUGUGCAAAGGCAUAAGCGUGCUUGACUGCAAGAUCGACGGAUCAAGCAGGUAGGAAACUAGGACUUAGUGAUCCGGUGGUUCUGUAUGGAAGGGCCAUCGCUCAACGGAUAAAAGGUACUCCGGGGAUAACAGGCUGAUACCGCCCAAGAGUUCAUAUCGACGGCGGUGUUUGGCACCUCGAUGUCGGCUCAUCACAUCCUGGGGCUGUAGUCGGUCCCAAGGGUAUGGCUGUUCGCCAUUUAAAGUGGUACGCGAGCUGGGUUCAGAACGUCGUGAGACAGUUCGGUCCCUAUCUGCCAUGGGCGUUGGAGAUUUGAGAGGGGCUGCUCCUAGUACGAGAGGACCGGAGUGGACGAACCUCUGGUGUUCCGGUUGUCACGCCAGUGGCAUUGCCGGGUAGCUAUGUUCGGAAGCGAUAACCGCUGAAAGCAUCUAAGCGGGAAGCGCGCCUCAAGAUGAGAUCUCCCGG
RNAcentral lists this ribosomal RNA (2775 nucleotides) under Stenotrophomonas maltophilia. RNAcentral describes it as "bacterial LSU rRNA". It matches the Rfam family "Bacterial large subunit ribosomal RNA". Lineage: Bacteria; Pseudomonadati; Pseudomonadota; Gammaproteobacteria; Lysobacterales; Lysobacteraceae. The record is from RNAcentral.